AACUUUCAACAACGGAUCUCUUGGUUCUGGCAUCGAUGAAGAACGCAGCGAAAUGCGAUAAGUAAUGUGAAUUGCAGAAUUCCGUGAAUCAUCGAAUCUUUGAACGCACAUUGCGCCCUCUGGUAUUCCGGGGGGCAUGCCUGUUCGAGCGUCAUUGCAAACCCCUCAAGCACG
This 174-nucleotide ribosomal RNA is filed under the name Aphanoascus clathratus. RNAcentral's name for it is "5.8S ribosomal RNA". The stretch from base 1 to 154 matches the Rfam family "5.8S ribosomal RNA". From Rfam's summary of the family: 5.8S ribosomal RNA (5.8S rRNA) is a component of the large subunit of the eukaryotic ribosome. It is transcribed by RNA polymerase I as part of the 45S precursor that also contains 18S and 28S rRNA. Lineage: Eukaryota; Fungi; Ascomycota; Eurotiomycetes; Onygenales; Onygenaceae. The record is from RNAcentral.